This 346-nucleotide ribosomal RNA is filed under the name Otoniela quadrivittata. RNAcentral's name for it is "partial 16S ribosomal RNA". Lineage: Eukaryota; Metazoa; Arthropoda; Arachnida; Araneae; Anyphaenidae. The record is from RNAcentral.
GUAGCAUAAUCAUUUGUCUUUUAAUUGAAGACUAGAACAAAAGAUUUAACAUUUCAAUUAAUAUAUUAAUUUUUUAAAAUAAAAUUUAUUUUAAAUGUAAAAAAACAUUUAUUUUUUAGAAAGACGACAAGACCCUAUUGAACUUAACUUCAGUUAAACUGGGGCAGUAAAUUAAUUAUAAUUUUAAUUAAAAUAAAACAAUAAGAAUCCAAUAAAAUUGAACAAUCAAGUUACCAUAGGGAUAACAGCAUAAUAUUUAUUCAAAGCUCUUAUAUAAAUAAAAGAUUAUGACCUCGAUGUUGAAUUAAUUACCUAUUAAAUUACGCAAUAGUUAAGUAAGGAAGUC